GACGAACCGUGCGAACGUUAUUCGGAAUCAUUGGGCUUAAAGGGCGCGUAGGCGGGCGACCGCGUCGAGUGCUGAAAUCCCCCGGCUCAACCGGGGAAGGGGCCUCGAAACGGGUCGCCUCGAGGCGAGGAGGGGGACCUGGAACGUCCGGUGGAGCGGUGAAAUGCGUUGAGAUCGGACGGAACACCAACGGCGAAAGCAAGGUCCUGGACUCGUACUGACGCUGAGGCGCGAAAGCCAGGGGAGCGAACAGG
RNAcentral lists this ribosomal RNA (254 nucleotides) under uncultured bacterium. RNAcentral describes it as "partial 16S ribosomal RNA". It matches the Rfam family "Bacterial small subunit ribosomal RNA", at positions 524 to 776 of the family's 1533-position model. The record is from RNAcentral.